Equus caballus (horse) is the source of this 7375-nucleotide long non-coding RNA. RefSeq lists it as uncharacterized. NCBI's taxonomy places the organism in Eukaryota, Metazoa, Chordata, Mammalia, Perissodactyla, Equidae. The record is from RefSeq and is a predicted model, not a curated record.
GCUCCAGGCCACUGCCCGCUCUGCCCACCAUCCCCAGGGAGGCGGCUGCCCCCGUCCUCAGGGCUCAUGCAGCAGGGCCCGGGGACCAAUCCAGGUUGUGAGGGACCCUGGACAGAGGUAGGAGACCGGACUCUGUCCCAGCUCGGCCACGGCCUGGCUGCAUCACCCACUUUUACACCACAGCAAUCCCUGUCCUCUGCCUUUUCCCUAACCAGUAAGCCAGUGAGGGCCUGCCCGGGAACAAGAAGAGAAAAUGACUCCCCUCAGCCUCUGGCCAUGGCCCAUGAGGUGGGACUGAGUCAGAAGGACCUGACCGAGGGUCCCCAGGGUGGGCGGGGCACCCUGCAGAGGCAGUUCCUCCACCCCUGCUGCUGGGAGAAACGGACUUCGGGACACACCAACCCCGAGUGCAAGGCCCCGGUUAGGAGCUCACGCGGAGCUGCAGGAGGAGUGAAUAGGCCAUUCUCAGCCCUGGGUCUGCAGAGCCUGGCCGGGGAGGCCCCGAACACUGAGUGAACUGUCCACGUUCUCAGAAGCCCGCCCCCAGAGGCCCCUCUUGCUGGCCACACUGCCUGACCCUGGCCACUGUCUCUACAGCAUAGGCCUCAUCUGCCCAGCCGUCCACUCUGCCAGGACUGGGACCCGCAACCAUCACAGUGCACCGUCCAGGAUGGCCAUCGGCACAGAGCACAGCAGCUCUGCCACCUGGCCAGACCCAUGCUGAGGGCCUCCCUUCCUGGAUUCUCUCUGAAGCCUCCCACCGCCCCUCAGGGCAGCCCCUAUGACUACCCUCCUUUUACUGAGACUCAGAAAGGCUAGGCAACCUGCCAAGGUCACACAGCUGGGAAGUGGCAGCACCAGAAAGGCACCCGGAAAUCCAGACACGAAGUCUGCAUCCCCUGACCGCCACCACGUCCUACGUGCCUUGUCCAGGGCCCUGCCAGGCCUGGCACGGGCCGGAUGGAGAACUUUCCAGGGGACAGCCUCUGACAUGGGCAGGCGGGUAGCCGCCCCAGUCUCUAGUUUUCUCAUCUCCUCUGGGGGACCUGCCUCCAUUAUCCCACGGAUGGGCAGGCACUACAGACCCCUCCCCAACAGAGAAGGAAAGGGGGCCCAGGGAGGGACCGUGGUCCAGUAUGAUGCUAGCAGUGACCGCACCAGAUCCCAGAGCUGGGACCUUGGGCAGGCCCCGGAGACUCUCUGGUCCUCAGUUUCCUCCUCAGUAAAACGAGGCUGAGGCCAUUCCAUCCCUAACCCAGCACGCGAUCCCCCAGCUGUCUGCCAGAGACAUUGGACUCCACCCUCCCGCCCUACUCGGAUUCAGCAAUCUCUCCACCGUAAACAGGAAGGGCAGGACAGAGCUGCAGAGGGCAAUCGGAGGAAGCUGCCCCGGCCUGGGGAGGCCUGCCCAAACCCAAGCUCAAGGGGGACCAACCUCUGGGGCGCCCCCUGGGGCCAGGAAGGAGAAGAUAGAGCAAAAGGACUCUCAAGUCACUGCCAGCUGGGUUCGAAUCCCACCUCGGCCAAUGCCUGGCUGUGCGAGACUGGGUGGCAUGCGGCCCACUUCUUGAAUCAGGGAAUAAAGCCGGUUCGAUCUUUCAGUUUACCCAGUUGAAUUUCUGUUCGUCAGCAGAGCGAUGGGAGAAGGAGGCAGUAACCUGGACAAUCUUCACGUGCAGUGCCCUCAGCAGAAGAGAAUGCAUCCCGCGGAAAGGAAGCCGUCUCUGCCCGCCGUGGACAGCUGCCUCCACACGGUGCUCUCAAUUAACCCUAGGACGGACAGCUGCCGUGGCUUCGAAGUUGCCGUCCCAUCGAAAUCUCAGUGCUUGCCCAGCUUCAGUCGUCGUCUGUCUCCUCGUAAUUCUUCCCAUCCCACACCCACCUGCACUCUUUGUCUUACAGUUCCAUUCGAAUUAAGUUGAUUGAUUUUCCCUACUUAAUUUCAUUGCAGGUAGUAAAUGCUGCACACCAAGUCUGAUGGGCUACCGUCUUUUUUCUGGCACGCAUUAAAAGAAACAUGCGUAUUAGUUAUCUAGUGCUGCGUAACAAAUAGCCUGCAGUCUUCAUGGGUUCUUACCACGUUUAUUAUCUGCCAGCUUUUCUUAGACUGGAUGUGGCUCAGCCGGACGCCUCUGGCUGUGGGUCUCUCCCAGGCUGCAGUCAAGGUGUCGGCUGGGGCUGCAGCCGUCUCCAGGCUCGUCGUGGGUCCAGGCUUACUCAGCGGCCGUUGGCUGGAUUCAGUUCCUCAUGGGGUGUUGGAAUGAGGGCUGCAGUUCACCCAAGUCUGUCGUCUGGGGAUGGCCCUCAGCUCCCUGCCCCGUGGGCCUCUCUGUAGGGCAGCUCAUGACACAGCAGCCGGCUUCAUCAGAAGGAGCGAGCACAAAGAGCCAGAGAGAGAGAACGAACAUACUGGAAGUCACAGUUCUUCAAAACCUCAUCUCGGAAGGGACCUCCCGUCACUCUUGCUGUGUUCCGUCCAUGAGAGGCUGGUCACCAGGUCCAGCCCCGGCGGGAUGAGGGCGGUCAGCAGACCUGGGGAAGGCCACGCUGGGCCCGGCAUGGCUAGCAUCGCCAUGCACCGCCACAAAGCAGCGGCUUCCUCCUGUGAGGGAGGCCAGCCCUGGGGAAGCAUCGGGCAAAGUCAGAGCCCGCGGUUUGCAAAGAAGAGGAGAAAGGGGGUCUUUGGCGAGGAACUCCGUUCCUUGCCCUGCCCCCAGGCGAGAAGACAAACUGAGAUUCAACAGGGGACAGUGUCCUCCUCUCUCCCGCCACCACCCCCCAACACAGAGUGUCUGUGUUGGAGGAAUCCACCACCACCACACAGCUGCAAUCGCCGUGUUGGUUCUGUUGCCUGUAUCCCUCGGAACCUGCAGUGUAGACAGGCGUCCUCUUGGUGGGGACACUGACUAUGGCUCAGCCUGAAGAUCAUUUCGUGUCCUACUAGGGCCACUGUUGGAGUACUGUCCCAUCAACGGAGAGCUUUUUCUCCCAAGACACCCACCCUUGUCUGGAGGUUGUACCAGACUUGCUUUGCAUGUCAGAAAUGCCCCCUCGGUCCCAAACACGUUCCUUGAGCUGUGUUACUGUGGGCAACAUGCCAACCACCUCUCUGUUUCGUUCCCACCUGGAACCCUCCUGGUGAGGCCGAGGGGUGUAAGGGAGACUCGGAGAGGAGCCUAAACAUCCUCGCAGCCUGGGGGGCACCAGCCGUCAUCACAGGUGGAGCAUCCUGGGCAUCUGGGCGCUUCUUGGUCACAGUCAUUUCCUUCCUGGAUGCACUGGGCCAACUGCCCCCCUCAGGCUGGGUUUCCUCUGUUUAGCUGCAAGAGCAGCGAGCAUGUGCCCACGGAGGUCUUUCUAAACGCAGCUUCAUGGUUUUUAUUCAUUCCUUCCCUCACUCAUCCAGGCAUCUAUUGAGUGCCUACUGUAUACCAGGAACAGUCACAGGCACUAUGGACUCAUACUAAAGGUGCUCAUUGCAACAGUUUCAAAUGAUUUCUGAAAGCAUGUGGAAAAAAGCAAAAAUGCCCAGGCCUCAGGGUAGCGUGGGCGAAGCGUGGGCCCCAAGUCACCGAGAUCUGAAUUCGCAUCGGUCCCCACCUCCGUGCUCGUGAGCUCCGGCAGCCUGGCACCUCGCUGGGCCUCGGUGGCUGCCUCCGUAAAGUGGGGAUAAUGACAGUGGCGACUCCUAGGUUUGCAGCGAGAAGAGACACAGGAUGGGGCCUCAGUGCUUGUGCCCCCUUCCUUCCACCCACUUCCUUCUACAGCAUCUCUGGGAGAAGCAUGAGGCCGUGAUUUAAGAUCACCAGGAAUUCUCAAAUCUCUUGUCUCACGUCAGUCUCGAAACUACCACCCAGGGCAGCACGGCGAUUAUCCUCCUGUUGCGCUGGGGGAAACUGAGACACAGAGAGGGACGUGCUUUGUCUGCGGUCACACAGCGAGUGAAGGGGACAGCGGACACCACGCCUGGCCCGAGAUGGGAAGAGGAGCUCAUCGGCUGGGCACAGGGCCACGAGCAGGGGCGAUGGUGCAGAGACCUUCUCAUCCGUGCCCUGGGGACCAACCUCUGGGAAAACCAAAUGCUUCCCAGGCCGGCUCAGGCUGCACUUGCUAUUUUGAGUUCUCUAACACAUGACACAGGCAACAGGAAUCUGGGGGGACCCGGAUCACUUGUCGUGUUGGCAAUGGACCUGCUUGUGGUGGUGGCCAAGGGAGGGGCUGGGGGUGGUGAGGGUCGGCAGGGCAGGGGCGGGAGAGCAGAAGGCUGAAGGCGGAGCCGGGAGGCCCGUGGGGCAGGGGUGCGGCAAUGGGGAGAAGGCCCAUGGGGAGCCUGGAGGGAGGGCCUGCGGAAGGCAAGGGGUCGAGUGGGGCCUGACAGGAAGGCUGGCCGGCCGGUGUGGCAUGUGGGGCCUUGCCCAGCACAAACGUGCCUUCCUAGGCCCGGAGCCCCAGACGCAGAGCCUGAGAGAGGGUGCGAGCAGUUUGCUUGGAGGUGAUCUCGAGAAGUGGGUCAUGGCGGCAGGGGGGAGCGGAAAGUGGUAGAAGGUGUGUUAUCAGCUGGCGGCAACGGGGCUCCUUCCCCGUGAGGCCCCCUGGGAGACAACAUAGAAGGAGCCUUAGGGUGUUCCUGCCUGGGGACGAGGAAGCUGGGUGUCCCCAACUCCCCUGUGACACUGGCCCUCAGCUGGGCCACUCCUAGGGCCCAGAUCUCCCCACGGGGAGGCACAGGUGCUGGCAGGAGGGUGCCAUGGGCCUGGCCGGGAGCGGUGAGCGCCGGGACGCCAACAACGGGCACCAAUAGCAUCCGAGGCAAGGAGGGAGCACGGAGGCCAUCCCGCAUGCACCUGUUCACCGAGCAUCCCAGUGUGCCCAUCUCAUCAGGGAGACGGAGGAUGAGAAGAGCACGCGGAGAGAUGGUCAGCAGCGCGGGAUUCGUGCCAGGAAGGGAUGGAGGACGGAUAAACAACAUGUGGCGUAUCCACACGACGGGGUUUGAUGCAGCCAUAAAGAGCAAUCGAGCACUGAGUGUUGAAAAUAGUGAGACUGAGCGCAAGACGCCAGAUGCAAAAGGCCACAUAGCGUGUGAUUCCGUUCCCGUGAGGUGUCCCAGGCAGGCAAAUCCGCAGAGACAGGAAGCAGGGCGGAGGAGAAGCCCCUACCUGACUCAGAUGGCUAAUGGACCAGGGGAGCCCCUCAGAGAGCCAGCGACAUCCCCGCAGCUGGAACCGGGAAGCCACUCAGAGAACGAUGCCAAGGGAACUUCCGCUCCCCUUCAGAGCUGACUGAGCGUGCCACCCUGGGGACAUUCGUCCUGCUUCAAGCAUCUCCUGUGUGCCAGCUCCUCGCCGGGUAUCAGGGUCAGUGCAGGAUCAGCCAUGGUGCAUCCCUGGGGGAGCGCAGACCACCACACGGCAGUGACACCUAGACUGCAUGUUCCCAAAGGACAGGAGCCAGGACUGUCUCAUUCACCCCCAGGGACUCACCUGAAGAGGCCGGAGGCUGAACUCGUAGUCAGUGCUCAACAAACGUUUGUUGAAUGACUGACUGAGCCACGCAUGUUGAAUGGAAGCAGCACAGUGGUGGUGGCCCUUAGGAAGGAGCAACAAACCGAGCUUGGGUGGGGAGUGAGCUUCAGGGGGAGGCUUCCUGGAGGAGGUGACAUUUGAGCUGGCCCUAAAGAGUGCGUAGGAGUUUUCCAAAGAACAGCAGGUCGAGAGAACCACAUAAGCACAGAUCCAGAGGUGAGAAAGGGCCCGUACCAACCAGGGGACUGAGCAGUCCGUGCCUGGGGUGGGGUUGGAAAGUUGAGGACUCCUCCAGGAGGGGCGUGGCACUAGGGUCCCUCUGCCAGGAGCCCCCGCAGGCUGGGCCGAGGUGGGAUAGGCCAGCAGCUCCUUAACGGUUAGAUCCUUCUGACUGUGCCAGCUUCCGGCUUGGCUGCGGGUCCCCCUGCUCAUUCCUGAAGCUUCUGUUGCGGUCAAGGCUGCAGAUACCGUGGCCAAGGACAGGGGCCAGGGAGCUCUGCGUUUGUGCUGGAAGGGACUUUGGUGCAGUUCGGAACCCAGAGGACAUCACUCACCCGGGUGACGGCUCUCCCCACCUCAGGGAGAGACCUCGGCCCAGCCCACACUUUGCAGACCGCCCUGCAGGGGAUCCCACUGCAGAAAGAGGCCUCAGAGCGGGACUCGGGGCUCAGCAAACAGCAUGAGCUGGCAUGCAGCCCCUCCUCGCCCUCUCAGCCAGGGGCACUGGAGGAGUGCGCAACCCAGCGACAGUACAGGUCGCCCUGCUUGCAUCGCAGGGCCUUUGCAAUCUGGCAACAGGAAAGGCCCAAAUCCCCACGCGUGGCAUGCUCUGCUCUAUGGCACUGCUGGUUUCUGCUGCAGGAUGGCCCACCCCGAGCUGUCAUCAACCCUUGGACUUUCAGGACAGAUGUUUCCGCCACUAUUUAGUCAGUGGGCUUGAAGGUAAUUUGGGGAAGAAACAACAGGGAUGCUAUAGUUUUUGACCUCCCAAAACUCCGCUGUAAAAAUGGACAGAGCACAAGGACAGCAAAACCCAAAACUCAUGGGUGGCAGCCACGUGAAGCCAGGUGGCCAGGUGUCCCCAGCAUUCGAGCAGGGGGACACAAAUCGUCAGCGGCUGCAAGACCCACACGGCAUCAGCAACAGCAGGAGAGGACGGGGAGGGGAGUCAGCGGGACCCUGACGGUCCUGAGCACUGGAGGACCCCCCCAGUCACCUACAGGUCCUCCAGGGCCAGCCUGGGGGUCCCGUCAGAGAGCAGGAGCCAAACCCGGGGUCGGGGGCUUCCCCUGGCAGCGCGAGGGAAGGCAGCAGUCAGCACAGCGGGGCUGGAGCCGCCUGGGCCCGGGAACUCCUGAAUUAGCCAGAGGAACCUGCCUCCAGGACCAUGGCCCAGACUGGGAGGACACUGGCGGGGAGGCGUCCAGAGGGCCCAGCAUGGGAACAGCGGCAGGACGACCCAGGGGGCCAAGAAGAGGGACGGUUUAUGGCCUACCUCCCCUCCCAAAACAUUCAGAAAAUCUCAUCCCACUGGGCAGACAGGAGCAGCAGAAAGACACUGCACAGAGACACUGCACAGAGAGGGUGGGGAGCGGAACAGCAGCCCCACAGCCCGGAAGAUGGGCCGGAGAGACACACCCUCCAGACAGGGAAGAGCUGGAGGUUUCCUAUUUCCAAAUGAGCUGCUGGUUCACUUUGUUUUAUUUACUUCUCUUUUGAUGCUUACCUCCCCAGGACUUCUUUAUCUUACGACUGGAAGUUUGUACGCAUUGACCCCCUUCAGCCUCUGGCACCUGCCAAUCUGUUCUCUGCAUCUAUGAGUUUGGUUCUUUAAGAUUCCACAUAUAACU